GAUGAACGCUGACGGCGUGCCUAAUACAUGCAAGUCGAGCGAACGGACGAGAAGCUUGCUUCUCUGAUGUUAGCGGCGGACGGGUGAGUAACACGUGGAUAACCUACCUAUAAGACUGGGAUAACUUCGGGAAACCGGAGCUAAUACCGGAUAAUAUUUUGAACCGCAUGGUUCAAAAGUGAAAGACGGUCUUGCUGUCACUUAUAGAUGGAUCCGCGCUGCAUUAGCUAGUUGGUAAGGUAACGGCUUACCGAGGCAACGAUGCAUAGCCGACCUGAGAGGGUGAUCGGCCACACUGGAACUGAGACACGGUCCAGACUCCUACGGGAGGCAGCAGUAGGGAAUCUUCCGCAAUGGGCGAAAGCCUGACGGAGCAACGCCGCGUGAGUGAUGAAGGUCUUCGGAUCGUAAAACUCUGUUAUUAGGGAAGAACAUAUGUGUAAGUAACUGUGCACAUCUUGACGGUACCUAAUCAGAAAGCCACGGCUAACUACGUG
RNAcentral lists this ribosomal RNA (497 nucleotides) under uncultured bacterium. RNAcentral describes it as "partial 16S ribosomal RNA". It matches the Rfam family "Bacterial small subunit ribosomal RNA", at positions 28 to 507 of the family's 1533-position model. The record is from RNAcentral.